CAGUAGCCGCGGUAAUACAGAGGAUGCAAGCGUUAUCCGGAAUGAUUGGGUGUAAAGCGUCUGUAGGUGGCUUUUCAAGUCCGCCAUCAAAUCCCUGGGCUCAACCCUGGACAGGCAGUGGAAACUACCAAGCUGGAGUACGGUAGGGGCAGAGGGAAUUUCCGGUGGAGAGGUGAAAUGCGUUGAGAUUGGAAAGAACACCAACGGUGAAAGCGCUCUGCUGGGCCGACACUGACACUGAGAGACGAAAUCUAGGGGAGCAAAUGGGAUUAGAUACCCCAGUAGUCCCUGUCUCUUAUAA
This 301-nucleotide ribosomal RNA is filed under the name uncultured bacterium. Its description in RNAcentral is "partial 16S ribosomal RNA". It matches the Rfam family "Bacterial small subunit ribosomal RNA", at positions 509 to 809 of the family's 1533-position model. The record is from RNAcentral.